Molecule: long non-coding RNA, 730 nt
Filed under: Cricetulus griseus (Chinese hamster)
Lineage: Eukaryota; Metazoa; Chordata; Mammalia; Rodentia; Cricetidae
Description: lncRNA (ENSCGRG00000024299.1)
Source: RNAcentral
AACAAGGGCUGAGAACACAAAGACAGGCAUUGUGCUAAAUGCUGAGGAAGUAAAAAGGAAUUCUUAUUUAUAAUUUAUACCCCACCUACUUCCAAAGAGAAUUUUAAAGGUGACUCACAAUGAAAAACCACAUAUGAAGCAAGAUCACUGAGUUAAAAAUUGAAACAUCAAGCCAUGGGAAUGAAGAAAGGGAAGCCUGUGUUACCUAUCACUACUGUGCCAAAGUCCUUCCUUUUGUCCAGACAUUCCACUUUACAAAAGAGGGCGACGGGAACGAUGAGGUGUGGCUCGAGCUGAGGGAAAGUUUAUCUAUUCUCUCUGGGUAGAGGCAUGGGGAGAACUCCCAUUAUCCAAUUUGACAAACUCCUGACCUGCUUUAGCAGUUGAAAAUCAUCGUUCAUGGAUGCUUGGAUGACACAGACAUUCUUCCACCAGCUGUCUGUCACACCAGCUCUCAAGAAAAGUCUGCUAGAACAUCAUGCAUUUCUCUGCAGAAGGAAGGUUUCCUGCAAGAACUGGAUGGCCCGAACGAUUCUGGAUGCAGAGUCUAGACAGGUAAGAAAAAAAACCAAGGCUUGCAGGAAGGGCUCUCUCUGAGGGAGGGGCUCCUGCCUAUUUCAGUAGCCCCAGCUCCCCACACCUGCCCUAGGAGUCAUUUCUGGAAAGUCUCACCUGCGCUUGCCCUAGCUGUUCCGUUUACCAGGAAGACUCUUCCAAAUUCUACACACAC